UAAGGUAGCGACAUUCCUAUCGGGUAAGUUCCGACCGCACGAAAGGCGUAAUGAUUUGGGCACUGUUUCAACGAUACACCCGGUGAAAUUGAAAUAACAGUGAAGAUGCUGGUUACCUGCGCCAGGACGGAAAGACCCCAUGGAGCUUUACUCCAGUUUGAUACUGGGAUUCGGCAUGGUAUGUACAGGAUAGGUGGGAGACUGAGAAGGUAUGACGUCAGUUGUACCGGAGUCGCUGUUGGGAUACCACCCUUACCAUGUUGGAUUUCUAACCUGUGGCCGUAAGCCGGUCAGGGGACAAUGUCAGGCGGGGAGUUUGACUGGGGCGGUCGCCUCCGAAAGGGUAUCGGAGGCGCUCAAAGGUUCCCUCAGAAUGGUUGGAAACCAUUCGAAGAGUGCAAAGGCAGAAGGGAGCUUGACUGUGACACCGACGGGUGGAGCAGGUACGAAAGUAGGACUUAGUGAUCCGGUGGUAUAAAGUGGGAUUGCCAUCGCUCAACGGAUAAAAGCUACCCUGGGGAUAACAGGCUUAUCACUCCCAAGAGUUCACAUCGACGGAGUGGUUUGGCACCUCGAUGUCGGCUCAUCGCAUCCUGGAGCUGUAGCAGGUUCCAAGGGUUGGGCUGUUCGCCCAUUAAAGCGGUACGCGAGCUGGGUUCAGAACGUCGUGAGACAGUUCGGUCCCUAUCCGGCGCAGGCGGAGGAAAUUUGAUAGGAGCUGUCCUUAGUACGAGAGGACCGGGAUGGACGGACCGCUGGUGUAUCUGUUGUACUGCCAAGUGCAUAGCAGAGUAGCCAAGUCUGGAAGGGAUAAACGCUGAAGGCAUCUAAGCGUGAAGCCCCCCUAAAGAUAAGAUUUCCCAUACCAAAAGGUAGUAAGACCCCUUGAAGACGACGAGGUAGAUAGGGCAGAGGUGGAAGUACGGUAACGUAUGGAGCUGACUGUUACUAAUCGGUCGAGGCUUUAACCAA
RNAcentral lists this ribosomal RNA (972 nucleotides) under Clostridium sp. SS2/1. RNAcentral's name for it is "bacterial LSU rRNA". It matches the Rfam family "Bacterial large subunit ribosomal RNA", at positions 1952 to 2925 of the family's 2925-position model. Lineage: Bacteria; Bacillati; Bacillota; Clostridia; Eubacteriales; Clostridiaceae. The record is from RNAcentral.